GAUGAACGCUGACAGAAUGCUUAACACAUGCAAGUCAACUUGAACUUCGGUUUGGGUGGCGGACGGGUGAGUAACGCGUAAAGAACUUGCCUCACAGAUAGGGACAACAUUUGGAAACGAAUGCUAAUACCUGAUAUUAUGAAUAUAUGGCAUCGUAUAAUUAUGAAAGCUAUAUGCGCUGUGAGAGAGCUUUGCGUCCCAUUAGCUAGUUGGAGAGGUAACGGCUCACCAAGGCGAUGAUGGGUAGCCGGCCUGAGAGGGUGAUCGGCCACAAGGGGACUGAGACACGGCCCUUACUCCUACGGGAGGCAGCAGUGGGGAAUAUUGGACAAUGGACCAAGAGUCUGAUCCAGCAAUUCUGUGUGCACGAUGAAGUUUUUCGGAAUGUAAAGUGCUUUCAGUUGGGAAGAAAAAAAUGACGGUACCAACAGAAGAAGUGACGGCUAAAUACGUG
This 454-nucleotide ribosomal RNA is filed under the name uncultured bacterium. Its description in RNAcentral is "partial 16S ribosomal RNA". It matches the Rfam family "Bacterial small subunit ribosomal RNA", at positions 28 to 507 of the family's 1533-position model. The record is from RNAcentral.